RNAcentral lists this transfer RNA (87 nucleotides) under Mycolicibacterium phlei. RNAcentral's name for it is "tRNA-Gly(acc)". The record is from RNAcentral. Lineage: Bacteria; Bacillati; Actinomycetota; Actinomycetes; Mycobacteriales; Mycobacteriaceae.
UCGUGGGCCGGCGCGUUGUCGCUGGCCGACUACCGCUCGGCCGUGUUGCCGCACAGCACAAGGAUUUUCGAUGAAUUCGCCCAUGAG